UGCGUAGGCGGUCGGGUAAGUCUGAUGUGAAAUCUCCAAGCUUAACUUGGAAAUGGCAUUGGAAACUACUCUGCUCGAGGGUUGGAGGGGGGACGUGGAAUACUUGGUGUAGCAGUGAAAUGCGUAGAUAUCAAGUGGAACACCAGUGGCGAAGGCGAGUCCCUGGACAACUCCUGACACUGAGGCACGAAAGCUAGGGGAGCAAACA
This 208-nucleotide ribosomal RNA is filed under the name uncultured bacterium. Its description in RNAcentral is "partial 16S ribosomal RNA". It matches the Rfam family "Bacterial small subunit ribosomal RNA", at positions 568 to 774 of the family's 1533-position model. The record is from RNAcentral.